Molecule: ribosomal RNA, 370 nt
Filed under: uncultured bacterium
Lineage: Bacteria
Description: bacterial SSU rRNA
Rfam family: Bacterial small subunit ribosomal RNA
Source: RNAcentral
CAGCAGCCGCGGUAAUACGGAGGAUCCGAGCGUUAUCCGGAUUUAUUGGGUUUAAAGGGAGCGUAGGUGGAUUGUUAAGUCAGUUGUGAAAGUUUGCGGCUCAACCGUAAAAUUGCAGUUGAAACUGGCAGUCUUGAGUACAGUAGAGGUGGGCGGAAUUCGUGGUGUAGCGGUGAAAUGCUUAGAUAUCACGAAGAACUCCGAUUGCGAAGGCAGCUCACUAGACUGCAACUGACACUGAUGCUCGAAAGUGUGGGUAUCAAACAGGACUAGAUACCCUGGUAGUCCACACAGUAAACGAUGAAUACUCGCUGUUUGCGAUAUACAGUAAGCGGCCAAGCGAAAGCAUUAAGUAUUCCACCUGGGGAGU